UACGGAGGGUGCGAGCGUUGUCCGGAAUUAUUGGGCGUAAAGGGCUCGUAGGCGGUUAGUCACGUCGGGAGUGAAAACUCAGGGCUCAACCCUGAGCGUGCUUCCGAUACGGGCUGACUAGAGGUAUGCAGGGGAGAACGGAAUUCCUGGUGUAGCGGUGGAAUGCGCAGAUAUCAGGAGGAACACCGGUGGCGAAGGCGGUUCUCUGGGCAUUACCUGACGCUGAGGAGCGAAAGCAUGGGGAGCGAACAGG
This 253-nucleotide ribosomal RNA is filed under the name uncultured bacterium. Its description in RNAcentral is "partial 16S ribosomal RNA". It matches the Rfam family "Bacterial small subunit ribosomal RNA", at positions 524 to 776 of the family's 1533-position model. The record is from RNAcentral.